RNAcentral lists this long non-coding RNA (2029 nucleotides) under Daphnia pulex (common water flea). RNAcentral's name for it is "uncharacterized LOC124193307, transcript variant X2". The record is from RNAcentral. Lineage: Eukaryota; Metazoa; Arthropoda; Branchiopoda; Diplostraca; Daphniidae.
UCGUCUGUAAUGAAUGACGAAAAGUCGAACAACAAACACGUUACGUUAUUAGUGUUCUUCUUUAACUUCUGUUCGUUUUUUUUAAAAGAAUAUUCAACUACAAAUUUAAUACAGGUCAAAAACAAUAAUAGGUUAGUCACAGUUUUGUGAAGUUACUAUUGAUCUUGCUAGGCGGACAUGCUUUAUUUAUUCUGACUGAACAUGAUUUUUUCUACAAAUAUUGCAUUGACAGACAAUGUUUUCUGUCAUAGAGAAAGCUACGGGAACAUAAUCAAGGCCAUGGGUAAUCUUCAGAUUUUUUGCUGCAACUUUGGGGAAGGAAGUCACACGAAAAGAUUCAGGGCACGUACCAGCAUGUGUUGUAUUUUUCUAGAUGUUUUACUCAAGCAGUAUAUUCAACAUGACUGUUUGAUGCCAAAGUUAGUCGGAACUCUAACACCGAUAACCGUCGCUGCUGCUGCCUUACAGCCACAGACAGGAAAAUUGUUCUUUUCUUCAGAAAAUUGUGGCUUAAAUGGAUUGUCCCCCAGCCACCAGGUGACGCGAGUGUCUUUGUGAGGACGAAAUAUUUGCCAUUUGUUCCCGAGACGCUGACUGAAAGUGUAUUCCAAAUCCAUUACGGAAUUGCGGUGUCGAUCUACAUUUUCAGCCAUGAAAUGGCUAUCUGGGAUAUAAUUUCACUUGGCCAUUAAUAAUGUGACGACUUGGGUCGAAACUGCUGUCCAAUGUCGGCCAUUGUUAGCUGUACGUCUUGGCUGUACGUCUCAUCUUGUGCAGAAACACUUCAGACCUAUUGAUGUUAAGGUUGGAGAUAGAGAUCCCUUUGCUCAACUGUUGCAGAAAUUGAGAACACGACAAAGUCUGAGCUUCAUGACUGUUGUAUCAUCAACAUGGUUUUCUUGCAGCCAGCUGGUGAAAUAUGCGAUCAAGUCAAGUUGAGCUGCAGCUGCUGCAUGCAGUUUAUCGAGCUGGUGUUAUCCCAAGUGUCACUGAAGGAAGACUCAUUGAAUUGGAGUUAAUGGUCAAUUGGAUGUUUGAGCUGUUUAUGGUGUUGCUGUUUGGUGUACAGUGGUUUUGCAGCCCCCUUCCAAUUGAGAGAUGCUCUGAAAUGGAGUUUGGUGCAGACUUGCAGGUCAACAUCACACUUAAAUCGACUUAAAUGUGGAUUUGCCUAUGUUGGUGUCCAUGCAGUAUAUGCAGUGUUGAACGGUUGGGUAAAAUAGUUCAUGCUGCCUGAUGGCUGUCCAACAGUGACGGCCCGGACAAUCCUGAAUCCUUAAGGGUUGCCAUUCCAUCGAGGCUUAAACGAGGAUGAUGCGGAGGUGUUGCUCAUUGAGGGGUUUUGGUGACAAGGAGUCACUGAACGAAACGCUAAACCAAAUGAAAAAAAAAAUAAUAAAAAAGCCAACGAUCCUUUAUAUAUCCGAGCCGAGUCUUUUCCGUCUACAUUCGGUGUGAAGAGCGAAACCCAAAUUUCAACACAUUUUACUGCUUAGCAACGAAAACAAAGCGAGUGUCAAAACAUUGUUUUACUUGCGCAUACUUUAUUGGGGCAGAAACGCGUUGGUCAUGUAACAGGGUGGAUUUUUUUUUCACUUCUGUUCAUGCAGCAUCAAACGACACGCGAUAGGUUCUGGCGGUAAUCAACUAUUCAAAAUGUAGACAUGUCAAUGUAAAAGACAGGGUAAGAGUAGCCUUAUUCAUUUAUGUCAAAUAGCUGCUAGUAGGAUCUCAUUGUUGAUUUGCGGUUACAAAAUCCAUAGCCCUAGAGUUCAGGUAUUGUCAAUCAAUCAUUUGAUUUGCGUUUUAGAUGCUCCUAAAUCAGCUGUGGAAAUACGAUUCCCCCCGCUUCUCCUGGAUGGUUACUUAGGAUCAUUUAAGUUCAUUUUUGAGUUAUUCGUUGUGAACGUAGCGGACGAACUCUGACAGUCUAUCGAGCUUUAGCAAUUGCGUCUAUUUCUUAUUUUAUUGAUUAUAUUCAACCGUUUUAUGAGAAUUUUUGAUUUGUAUUUUUUUAUAUUCAUAAUUU